RNAcentral lists this Y RNA (114 nucleotides) under Microcebus murinus (gray mouse lemur). Its description in RNAcentral is "Y RNA (ENSMICG00000045876.1)". It matches the Rfam family "Y RNA". From Rfam's summary of the family: Y RNAs are components of the Ro ribonucleoprotein particle (Ro RNP), in association with Ro60 and La proteins. The record is from Rfam by way of RNAcentral. Lineage: Eukaryota; Metazoa; Chordata; Mammalia; Primates; Cheirogaleidae.
GGCUAGUCUGAAGGUAGUGAGUUAUCUCACGUGAUUAUUCACAGUCAGUUACAGAUUGAACUCCUUGUUCUACUACUUUCCCUCCUCCUCACUACUGCACUUGACUAGUCUUAA